RNAcentral lists this ribosomal RNA (298 nucleotides) under Xanthocytophaga flava. Its description in RNAcentral is "partial 16S ribosomal RNA". It matches the Rfam family "Bacterial small subunit ribosomal RNA", at positions 1 to 312 of the family's 1533-position model. Lineage: Bacteria; Pseudomonadati; Bacteroidota; Cytophagia; Cytophagales; Rhodocytophagaceae. The record is from RNAcentral.
ACUAUGGAGAGUUUGAUCCUGGCUCAGGAUGAACGCUAGCGGCAGGCCUAAUACAUGCAAGUCGAACGGGUAGCAAUACCAGUGGCGCACGGGUGCGUAACGCGUAUGCAAUCUACCUUUCACUGGGGAAUAACCUUGGGAAACCAAGGCUAAUACCGCAUAAGACAGUAAUCUGGCAUCAGGAAGCUGUUAAAGAUUUAUCGGUGAAAGAUGAGCAUGCGUCUGAUUAGCUAGUUGGUGAGGUAACGGCUCACCAAGGCGACGAUCAGUCGGGGUUCUGAGAGGAAGAUCCCCCACA